UUUUGGGGGAUGGGCUUUUGGGCUUUUGUUCAGUUGGUUGAGUUUUUUUUUGUUUUGUUUUUUUUUUGUUUUUUUGUUUGUUUGUUUUUGGUUUUGUUUUGUUUUUUUUUUUUUUGGUUUGGUUUGGUUUGAUUUGGGUUUUGUUUUUUUGUUUUUUGAGACAAGGUUUCUCUCUCCACAGUCCAAGAUGUCCUGGAACUCACUAAUAACACAGAUUCUUAUACUUACUACAAACCAUAGGUUUCCAGUAUAUUACAAAUAAUUUGGGUCAUUCAUUACCUGAAAUCUGGCACCUUAGAAGGCAAUUAAUGUGCCUAGAUACUCAUAGCUUGAAGGAGGAAGAAAGAGUAAAGCAGAAUUAAGUGCAGAGAAUGUCAUUUCCAUUAAAUACUUAGCAAACAGCAUUUGCUCAGUAAAACUGUGCAGCACUUACAUCCUAAAUGAGAGUUUGAAAGGAGAAAAUAACGUGACUUAGCCUUUCUUUCCAGGUCAAGAAAACUUUAUUUAAAGAGAGACUCACCGUGGUUUAUAAAUCCCUCUUAAUUAUUCUCCAUUGAUUAAUAAGGCAUCCACCCAAACACAUCUUUCUCUGCACUCUCCUAAGCCUCAGUAAGCUCUUUAGACAAGCGUGGAAGGCUUAAUGUAUUUCCUACGAAACUGUACCAUUCUCCUUGAUCAGCUUAGCCCAGCUUUGCAAACUGAAAAAAAAAAAUCAUUCCUGGCAUCAAUGUUCUGAUUAAUAAUUGAAUCCUAAGACCCUUCCAAGACAACAUUUGCAAGGACAGCUUAGUGGGGAGAAAGAGUUGCGCCAUGCACCACCAUGUCAGGAUGGAGCAUGCUCACGACCUCAGCUGGAGGUCCAGACUCUGGGGGUCUUUACACCCUUUAAAACUCUGUCCUAAAAAUGCAUGGCACUGGCUCCCCUGCAGCCUGAUGGCCUCCACCUGCUUUCUGGUGAUGCACAAUCAAGAUGCACUCUUCUUGUACUUGCUGUGUGGCUGCAGGUCACAUUCUUAAUGCUUCAUAUUAAGCUCUCUCAGGUUUUGAAUUAUUUAUGAUAGUGUUAUGGACUAUUUCUUUCUUUAAUCCUGAAGCAGGAAAUAAUGCUGUUGUCCUGAAAUGUCACACUGAGAAACAAGAGAAGCCCCAUAUUUACCCAUCCAAAAGAGUAUUCCUUCUGGAUGGUUUUCAAACAAACGUAUAUCUAAGUUAUUUGAGAUCUUUACAGAGCCCUCUAAGGCUACACAUCCUGUAUCAUACAAGACUAUGUAGACAGUUGUAAUCCUAUCAUCCUUCUUCCAUAGAAGGAAAAAGAAAAGAAGGAAAUUAUAUUUAGAUGAGCAACUGUCCCACUUUUUUAGAUAACCCAUUAGCAUUUCUCAAAGGCAAUGUGAAGGCUUCUUUGAAGCGUGUAACAACGGCCUUCUAAGGAAUGAGGUUAAGUGCAGAUGCCUGCACCUGAACCCUUGAGAACUUUGGAAUUAAGCAGGAGGCUGUUAAUUCUGCACAAUUUAAGAAACAACAAACUGCCAGACAGUUUCAUUAAUUUCAGUGAUAACUGUAUUUGC
This 1568-nucleotide long non-coding RNA is filed under the name Mus musculus (house mouse). RNAcentral describes it as "long non-coding RNA chr5:23237530-23239098". Lineage: Eukaryota; Metazoa; Chordata; Mammalia; Rodentia; Muridae. The record is from RNAcentral.